Molecule: ribosomal RNA, 720 nt
Filed under: uncultured bacterium
Lineage: Bacteria
Description: bacterial SSU rRNA
Rfam family: Bacterial small subunit ribosomal RNA
Source: RNAcentral
GAUUAGAUACCCUGGUAGUCCAUGCCGUAAACGAUGUCGACUUGGAGGUUGUUCCCUUGAGGAGUGGCUUCCGGAGCUAACGCGUUAAGUCGACCGCCUGGGGAGUACGGCCGCAAGGUUAAAACUCAAAUGAAUUGACGGGGGCCCGCACAAGCGGUGGAGCAUGUGGUUUAAUUCGAUGCAACGCGAAGAACCUUACCUACUCUUGACAUCCAGAGAACUUAGCAGAGAUGCUUUGGUGCCUUCGGGAGCUCUGAGACAGGUGCUGCAUGGCUGUCGUCAGCUCGUGUUGUGAAAUGUUGGGUUAAGUCCCGCAACGAGCGCAACCCUUAUCCUUUGUUGCCAGCGAUUCGGUCGGGAACUCAAAGGAGACUGCCGGUGAUAAACCGGAGGAAGGUGGGGAUGACGUCAAGUCAUCAUGGCCCUUACGAGUAGGGCUACACACGUGCUACAAUGGCGCAUACAAAGAGAAGCGACCUCGCGAGAGCAAGCGGACCUCAUAAAGUGCGUCGUAGUCCGGAUCGGAGUCUGCAACUCGACUCCGUGAAGUCGGAAUCGCUAGUAAUCGUGGAUCAGAAUGCCACGGUGAAUACGUUCCCGGGCCUUGUACACACCGCCCGUCACACCAUGGGAGUGGGUUGCAAAAGAAGUAGGUAGCUUAACCUUCGGGAGGGCGCUUACCACUUUGUGAUUCAUGACUGGGGUGAAGUCGUAACAAGG